AACGAACGCUGGCGGCAUGCCUAACACAUGCAAGUCGAACGAAUGGUUUCGGCCAUUAGUGGCGCACGGGUGAGUAACGCGUGGGAAUCUGCCCAGCAGUGGGGAUAACCUCUGGAACGGAGGCUAAUACCGCAUACGCCCCUCGGGGAAGGCUUGCUGCUGCUGGAGGAGCCCGCGUCGGAUUAGGUAGUUGGUGGGUAACGGCCUACCAAGCCUGUGAUCCGUAGCUGGUCUGAGAGGAUGAUCAGCCACACUGGGACUGAGACACGGCCCAGACUCCUACGGGAGGCAGCAGUGGGGAAUAUUGGACAAUGGGCGCAAGCCUGAUCCAGCAAUGCCGCGUGAGUGAUG
This 351-nucleotide ribosomal RNA is filed under the name uncultured bacterium. RNAcentral's name for it is "bacterial SSU rRNA". It matches the Rfam family "Bacterial small subunit ribosomal RNA", at positions 29 to 410 of the family's 1533-position model. The record is from RNAcentral.